ACGCUGGCGGCAGGCCUAACACAUGCAAGUCGAGCGGUAGCACAGGAGAGCUUGCUCUCUGGGUGACGAGCGGCGGACGGGUGAGUAAUGUCUGGGAAACUGCCUGAUGGAGGGGGAUAACUACUGGAAACGGUAGCUAAUACCGCAUGACCUCGCAAGAGCAAAGUGGGGGACCUUCGGGCCUCACGCCAUCGGAUGUGCCCAGAUGGGAUUAGCUAGUAGGUGGGGUAAUGGCUCACCUAGGCGACGAUCCCUAGCUGGUCUGAGAGGAUGACCAGCCACACUGGAACUGAGACACGGUCCAGACUCCUACGGGAGGCAGCAGUGGGGAAUAUUGCACAAUGGGCGCAAGCCUGAUGCAGCCAUGCCGCGUGUGUGAAGAAGGCCUUAGGGUUGUAAAGCACUUUCAGCGAGGAGGAAGGGUUCAGUGUUAAUAGCACUGUGCAUUGACGUUACUCGCAGAAGAAGCACCGGCUAACUCCGUGCCAGCAGCCGCGGUAAUACGGAGGGUGCAAGCGUUAAUCGGAAUUACUGGGCGUAAAGCGCACGCAGGCGGUUUGUUAAGUCAGAUGUGAAAUCCCCGAGCUUAACUUGGGAACUGCAUUUGAAACUGGCAAGCUAGAGUCUUGUAGAGGGGGGGUAGAAUUCCAGGUGUAGCGGUGAAAUGCGUAGAGAUCUGGAGGAAUACCGGUGGCGAAGGCGGCCCCCNGGACAAAGACUGACGCUCAGGUGCGAAAGCGUGGGGAGCAAAC
This 752-nucleotide ribosomal RNA is filed under the name uncultured bacterium. RNAcentral describes it as "bacterial SSU rRNA". It matches the Rfam family "Bacterial small subunit ribosomal RNA", at positions 33 to 773 of the family's 1533-position model. The record is from RNAcentral.